Non-coding RNA from Arvicanthis niloticus (Nile rat), 1216 nucleotides. The record is from RefSeq and is a predicted model, not a curated record. NCBI's taxonomy places the organism in Eukaryota, Metazoa, Chordata, Mammalia, Rodentia, Muridae.
GAUCUUUGUUGCUCCAAAAGCCAGUCUGACAGAAACUUAAGGAUCCUCCCUCUUCAGGUCUUUGUACCUCACAACUUCUGCAUCUGCAGACCUUUGACCCCUGGGUUCAAUGCUACCAUGCACCCUCUUCUGCAGCUGGUCAGAUGGCCCGAGGGCACCCCGAGAACGCUCAGGAAACCCAGGAGUGGGAUAGCAGCUUCCCCCUACACACAGCCAGGCAGGGGCUGACUCAGACCUGAAGUCCACAUCCCCUUUCACCACUCUGGGAGCUAUUACCACCUGUCCAUCAGCGGCAUCAAGGAGCCAGGAACGAUGACCUGGACAGUCCAGACUGUGGGAAGAGGUCCCCACUUUGAAGAAGAAAAACCAAGAAGGAAGGAAGGUUCAUAGGGUCUGUGAUCUCAGUGCAGCCUGGCCUUCCCCACUUGCUAAAGCCUGAAAAUGAAUAGAAAUUGAAUUUUAGUGUUUGGCAUUCCUUACCUGUUCAGAAUGUCCUAAAUAGAUUAGCAUACUUAAGGCUCUUAAUAAUAGUUAGUUGUUCAAGGAAUAUACUAUUUCACUGAGAGGAAAAUGCAAAACCCAAGAGGGGCCAAAUGAUGCCUUAAAGCCACGUCUGUAUGCAGCAGAACUAGAUCCCAGCUUGGUGCUGGCUACGGAGAGUCCUGAGCAAAGAUGGAGGUGUGUAGCUAGAGCUGGGAGGAGAAUCAUUAUCUAUCAUGGAGACAAGCCAGUCAUGUCUCUAUAUCCAUUCUGCUGCUAGCUGGCUGUGCCACAGUCUCUCUUGGCCUCAAGGUCCUUGUCUAUCAACAGGAAGAUGAGACAGAGGUUAUGAUCUAUAUCUCUAGAUAAUAGAUAAUGUCUCUGAGGUCCCUUCUAUUUCCAAGUCCAUGAGUUUGGUAGUUGAGAUUAUUUAUUUGGAAGAAGGACUGAUACCUCCAGGCUAUUUGCUUGGAGUUCAUAAUUCUAGCAUCUCAGAGAACAGAACUGAACUUGAUAUUCGGACUCAGCUUAGAAUCCUGACUGCUUGUAUAUUUGGUUUCCAGAGUGGGCCCCACAUACAAGGUCCUGACCAUUCUAUGUCAUUCCUAGAUGCCCCUCCAUUCUCAGCCUCAUGGGUUCACCCUGUAGAUGACACUUGGGGCUGUUAACAACAAAAUGCCAUAGCAGGUGGUGUGCGCCAUAUCUGUGAGAUCUCAUUAAAUCUUCACCAUAGUCC